Molecule: ribosomal RNA, 443 nt
Filed under: uncultured bacterium
Lineage: Bacteria
Description: partial 16S ribosomal RNA
Rfam family: Bacterial small subunit ribosomal RNA
Source: RNAcentral
CCUACGGGUGGCAGCAGUGGGGAAUAUUGGGCAAUGGGCGCAAGCCUGACCCAGCAACGCCGCGUGAAGGAAGAAGGCUCUCGGGUUGUAAACCUCUUUUGUCAGGGACGAAGCAAGUGACGGUACCUGACGAAUAAGCCACUGCUAACGACGUGACAGCAGCCGCGGUAAGACGUAGGUGGCAAGCGUUAUCCGGAUUUACUGGGUGUAAAGGGCGUGUAGGCGGGGGAGCAAGUCAGAUGUGAAACCCACGGGCUCAACCUGUGGCCUGCCUUUGAAACUGUUGUGCUUGAGUGCAGGAGAGGCAAGCGGAAUUCCGGGUGUAGCGGUGAAAUGCGUAGAUAUUAGGAGGAACACCAGUGGCGAAGGCGGAUUACUGGACUGUAACUGACGCUGAGGCGCGAAAGCGUGGGGAGCAAACAGGAUUAGAUACCCCAGUAGUC